GUUACUCAAAGUGGACCGGCUUCUUUGCACACUUGCAAGGAUGUUUUUACUGCGAUUCACAGCACAUUAAAUUCUGUGUUUCCAUUGGUGUUUCCAUACGCUCUUCAUAUCCCCUCUUUUGCAAGUUUGUGGGGGUUUAAUAUGGCCUUAAAGGUGAAAUCUCCACAGGGUGACUAUCAACUACCGACUGCUUUAAACAAUGUCACUCCAGCGGGAGUAGACAAUGUCAUUUCCAAACGACUUGAAAAAGAUUUGUUAAGAUUUUAUGAUGGCAUCUCCCAUUGUAACAUGUUUUUCUUGCCAAAAUACAUUCGAGAAAGUUUGAAAGAAGAAAAAAGAGUCAUCUGUGAGAAGUCUCCAAUUUUUGUUUCGCACAUUAGCUCAAAGAAGCUAAAAAAA
Long non-coding RNA from Zophobas morio, 399 nucleotides. RefSeq lists it as uncharacterized. The transcript is spliced from 3 exons. The record is from RefSeq and is a predicted model, not a curated record. Lineage: Eukaryota; Metazoa; Arthropoda; Insecta; Coleoptera; Tenebrionidae.